This 520-nucleotide ribosomal RNA is filed under the name uncultured Glomus. RNAcentral describes it as "SSU rRNA". It matches the Rfam family "Eukaryotic small subunit ribosomal RNA", at positions 569 to 1090 of the family's 1831-position model. The record is from RNAcentral. Lineage: Eukaryota; Fungi; Glomeromycota; Glomeromycetes; Glomerales; Glomeraceae.
AGCAGCCGCGGUAAUUCCAGCUCCAAUAGCGUAUAUUAAAGUUGUUGCAGUUAAAAAGCUCGUAGUUGAAUUUCGGGGUUAGUAAGUUGGUCGUGCCACUGGUAUGUACUGGCUUUACUGAUUCCUCCUUCUUGUAGAACCGUAAUGCCAUUAAGUUGGUGUUGCGGGGAAACAGGACUGUUACUUUGAAAAAAUUAGAGUGUUUAAAGCAAGCUAACGCUUGAAUACAUUAGCAUGGAAUAAUGAAAUAGGACGUUCGAUCCUAUUUUGUUGGUUUCUAGGAUUGACGUAAUGAUUAAUAGGGAUAGUUGGGGGCAUUAGUAUUCAAUUGUCAGGGGUGAAAUUCUUGGAUUUAUUGAAGACUAACUACUGCGAAAGCAUUUGCCAAGGAUGUUUUCAUUAAUCAAGAACGAAAGUUAGGGGAUCGAAGACGAUCAGAUACCGUCGUAGUCUUAACCAUAAACUAUGCCGACUAGGGAUCGGAUGAUGUUAAUUUUAUAAUGACUCAUUCGGCGCCUUA